Molecule: ribosomal RNA, 448 nt
Filed under: Amanita spreta
Lineage: Eukaryota; Fungi; Basidiomycota; Agaricomycetes; Agaricales; Amanitaceae
Description: eukaryotic LSU rRNA
Rfam family: Eukaryotic large subunit ribosomal RNA
Source: RNAcentral
UUGACCUCAAAUCAGGUAGGACUACCCGCUGAACUUAAGCAUAUCAAUAAGCGGAGGAAAAGAAACUAACAAGGAUUCCCCUAGUAACUGCGAGUGAAGCGGGAAAAGCUCAAAUUUAAAAUCUGGCAGUCUUUGGCUGUCCGAGUUGUAAUCUAGAGAAGUGUUGCCCACGCUGGACCGUGUAUAAGUCUUCUGGAAUGAAGCGUCAUAGAGGGUGAGAAUCCCGUCUUUGACAUGGACUCCCAGUGUAUUGUGGCGUGCUCUCAAAGAGUCGAGUUGUUUGGGAAUGCAGCUCUAAAUGGGUGGUAACCUCCAUCUAAAGCUAAAUAUUGGCAAGAGACCGAUAGUGAACAAGUACCGUGAGGGAAAGAUGAAAAGAACUUUGGAAAGAGAGUUAAACAGUACGUGAAAUUGUUGAAAGGGAAACGCUUGAAGUCAGUCACAUUGG